RNAcentral lists this small RNA (577 nucleotides) under Pan troglodytes (chimpanzee). Its description in RNAcentral is "processed transcript". Lineage: Eukaryota; Metazoa; Chordata; Mammalia; Primates; Hominidae. The record is from RNAcentral.
AGGAAAGCGGCCGUCCCUUGGCGCGGGGCUGGUCUGCCACGGGCGCCUCCCUGUGUCCCCGGGACCGCCGCACGGCCUCUGCCACAAUCGGCCCUUUCAGUCCCUCAGAAGCACUUGGGUUUCAAAGUCUCCAUGUCAUUAAAACGACGAGCAGGGAGACGAGGCGGCCGGAGCGUGUCUGCCGCAGUCUGGGCUGUGAACUGGCCCCUCGCCUGCCCCUCCUCCUGAGCCGGAGCUGCUCCGGAGAACAAAAAGCUCUCCUCAUGGAAAGUUUUACUAACCUGGCCCGGCGCCCAGGUCUGAGGCCUUCCCCGCGGCUGAGGAGGAUUGAAAGAGUCUGUGUGCCGCCAUCCAGCACGCAGCGUCGUUAACGUCGCAGACGGUGGCUACCGCGUGAUGGAUGGAGCAGUGGACUCGGCCGUGCAAAUCAUUCAUUAGGUAAAUGAAAUAAUACGAAAUGACCUCUCCAGCACGAACACCCACUCCUAGUUGCCACAUUGGAGCACUCAGUUCAGCGGGGGUAUGCUGACUUCAGCAGACAAAGACUUUUGAAUAAAUAAACUGAACGCACACCUGG